Molecule: long non-coding RNA, 624 nt
Filed under: Monodelphis domestica (gray short-tailed opossum)
Lineage: Eukaryota; Metazoa; Chordata; Mammalia; Didelphimorphia; Didelphidae
Description: lncRNA (ENSMODG00000037984.1)
Source: RNAcentral
AGUGAGUGGUCAUUCAGCCACUUCUUGAGGCUCUCCAACUCAGGAGAAUCGAUUCUUGCCCAAGAAUCAUCCAAAUUCAGUGGCAAGACCAAGGCAGGAUAAAUGGCGAUGGCCAGGGAUGCAGUAGAAGCCUCCUGGCAGAAGACUGAUAGACUCUCUAGGUGCAGAAAGAGACAUACAGUUUUGUACACAGCAAAUCUUGCCAAAGAGGAAGACACCCCACCCCCAACCGGGACUACACAACAACUUGCAAUACAGCACAAUUCUAGAUAAUAAAACCCAGCCCCACCAUUGUACUCCAAUGUCUUGACUGGCAGAGGGGACAUCAUGGUCACUGGCAGGCUCUGAAUUCAUUCAGUAGGUAAGCUUUUAUAAGGUGGAGUAUUUUUUUUAAAUUUUUACUUUCUGCCCUACUAACAACUCUAAGUCAGAAGGACAAGGGUUUAGGAAAAUGGGGUUAAGUGACUUGCCCAGGGUCACACAGCUAGGAAAUAUCUGAGGCCAGAUGGGAACCCAGGUGCUCCUAACUCUAGAUCUGAUGUUCUAUCUACUGUGUCACCAAGCUGCCCUGGAAUUUGAGUUUUGAGAGUUACUUUUUCUGAUGGUAAGACACUAGAGGUAUGG